Non-coding RNA from Misgurnus anguillicaudatus (oriental weatherfish), 576 nucleotides. The record is from RefSeq and is a predicted model, not a curated record. NCBI's taxonomy places the organism in Eukaryota, Metazoa, Chordata, Actinopteri, Cypriniformes, Cobitidae.
AUGAACAACACCGACCAGCGAGCAGCCAAGGGGAAAGCAAUCUUCCACACUCGUUUGGUCUUGUGUCAAAGCUGUGUGAAACUGGAGGGAGAAACUUGAGAGACCGUGCCGGAAGAAUGCUGGACAGAGUUCCAUAAAAUUCAUUAAUUUCAAAGUUCAACAUGAAUGGUGGUAGUCCACUGCAGAAGCAAGCAUUUGAAAAAACAUCAGUUCUCAGUUAUUAAAGAUGCUGUGUUGAACAACUUCCCAGCAGCAACAGAACUGGAAGUGAAGGAUGCAAUGGGGGCAUUUCAAACAGGCACCGGGGGGGGGGGGGGUAUAGAAAUUAGUACAAUUAAUAAGUUGAAGUGAACUGAAGAUAAGUUUGUUAAUGUUUAGAUGUUAUUUCAUUUUUAAAAUUUUAUUUUGUUAUUUAUGCUUUUAUUUUGUUACUGUUUUUAUUCUUUUUGUUAAAAGUAGUUUUUCAUUUUGUCUUAUCUGAAUUUCUAUUGUAUUAACAAUAUUUCUUGUAAUAAAUUGCAUGAUUACAUGUUUAUGAGAACCUUUUUUAAUGGAUUAAAAAUAAUUCUUUAGCCA